RNAcentral lists this ribosomal RNA (253 nucleotides) under uncultured bacterium. RNAcentral's name for it is "partial 16S ribosomal RNA". It matches the Rfam family "Bacterial small subunit ribosomal RNA", at positions 524 to 776 of the family's 1533-position model. The record is from RNAcentral.
UACGUAGGGGGCAAGCGUUGUCCGGAAUUAUUGGGCGUAAAGAGCUCGUAGGCGGUCUGUCGCGUCUGCUGUGAAAACUCGGGGCUUAACCCCGGGCCUGCAGUGGGUACGGGCAGACUAGAGUGCGGUAGGGGAGACUGGAAUUCCUGGUGUAGCGGUGAAAUGCGCAGAUAUCAGGAGGAACACCGGUGGCGAAGGCGGGUCUCUGGGCCGUAACUGACGCUGAGGAGCGAAAGCCAGGGGAGCGAACGGG